AAGGCUGCCUGAGAUAACCCACUGCCUUACCCAAAAGGUCUAGACUCUAGAGCCCUUUUGGGCAGUCUCCAUGGUCAGGUCCAACUGAAAGAGGAGUCAUUUUGAGACUGUGAGGUGGUCGCUGCAAUCUGCUCCUCUGUCUCCAUUCCAAAAAGAGACUGUGUGUAAGAGUCUGCUCUCUUGGGGAUUGGAAUACCAUCUGUGGAGGUUAUUUGGAUGCUGAAACAUUUUGGCAUGCUUCCCAAUCCACUGCAGACUCAUGAAUGAUUCACAGAAAAAUAAAGAACACUGAGCAAUACAGCCCA
Molecule: long non-coding RNA, 305 nt
Filed under: Homo sapiens (human)
Lineage: Eukaryota; Metazoa; Chordata; Mammalia; Primates; Hominidae
Description: non-protein coding TTTY21:5
Source: RNAcentral